UGGCGGACGGGUGAGUAAUGUCUGGGAAACUGCCUGAUGGAGGGGAUAACUACUGGAAACGGUAGCUAAUACCGCAUAACGUCGCAAGACCAAAGAGGGGGACCUUCGGGCCUCUUGCCAUCGGAUGUGCCCAGAUGGGAUUAGCUGUGGUGGGGUAACGGCUCACCAAGGCGACGAUCCCUAGCUGGUCUGAGAGGAUGACCAGCCACACUGGAACUGAGACACGGUCCAGACUCCUACGGGAGGCAGCAUG
RNAcentral lists this ribosomal RNA (253 nucleotides) under uncultured bacterium. RNAcentral's name for it is "partial 16S ribosomal RNA". It matches the Rfam family "Bacterial small subunit ribosomal RNA", at positions 96 to 353 of the family's 1533-position model. The record is from RNAcentral.